AAAAAAGCCUCUAAGCUUCAGUUACAGAGAGACCGUACCGCAAACCGACACAGGUGGGCAGGAUGAGAAUUCUAAGGCGCUUGAGAGAACUCAGGAGAAGGAACUCGGCAAAUUAGCACCGUAACUUCGGGAUAAGGUGCGCCCUGAUAGGUUGAAGCCCCUCGCGGGUGUAGGCUGAAAGGGUUGCAGUGAAAUGGUGGCUGCGACUGUUUAAUAAAAACACAGCACUCUGCAAACACGAAAGUGGACGUAUAGGGUGUGACGCCUGCCCGGUGCCGGAAGGUUAAGUGAUGGGGUGCAAGCUCUUGAUCGAAGCCCCGGUAAACGGCGGCCGUAACUAUAACGGUCCUAAGGUAGCGAAAUUCCUUGUCGGGUAAGUUCCGACCUGCACGAAUGGCGUAACGAUGGCCACACUGUCUCCUCCUGAGACUCAGCGAAGUUGAAAUGAUUGUGAAGAUGCAAUCUCCCCGCGGUUAGACGGAAAGACCCCAUGAACCUUUACUGUAGCUUUGCAUUGGACUUUGAACCAAUCUGUGUAGGAUAGGUGGGAGGCUGUGAAACUGGGACGCUAGUUCUGGUGGAGCCAACCUUGAAAUACCACCCUGGUUUGUUUGAGGUUCUAACCAUGGCCCGUGAAUCCGGGUCUGGGACCGUGCAUGGUAGGCAGUUUGACUGGGGCGGUCUCCUCCUAAAGUGUAACGGAGGAGUACGAAGGUACGCUAGGUACGGUCGGACAUCGUGCUGAUAGUGCAAUGGCAUAAGCGUGCUUGACUGCGAGACACACACGUCGAGCAGGUACGAAAGUAGGUCAUAGUGAUCCGGUGGUUCUGUAUGGAAGGGCCAUCGCUCAACGGAUAAAAGGUACUCUGGGGAUAACAGGCUAAUACCGCCCAAGAGUUCAUAUCGACGGCGGUGUUUGGCACCUCGAUGUCGGCUCAUCACAUCCUGGGGCUGUAGUCGGUCCCAAGGGUAUGGCUGUUCGCCAUUUAAAGUGGUACGUGAGCUGGGUUUAAAACGUCGUGAGACAGUUUGGUCCCUAUCUGCCGUGGGCGCUGGAAAUUUGAAGGGGGCUGCUCCUAGUACGAGAGGACCGGAGUGGACGAACCUCUGGUGUACCGGUUAUGACGCCAGUCGUAUUGCCGGGUAGCUAAGUUCGGAAGAGAUAAACGCUGAAAGCAUCUAAGCGUGAAACUCGCCUUGAGAUAAGAUUUCCCUGGGGACUUGAUCCCCCUGAAGGGUCGUGGUAGACCACCACGUUGAUAGGCUGGGUGUGGAAGCGCAGCAAUGCGUUAAGCUAACCAGUACUAAUUGCCCGUGAGGCUUGAUC
This 1327-nucleotide ribosomal RNA is filed under the name metagenome. RNAcentral's name for it is "bacterial LSU rRNA". It matches the Rfam family "Bacterial large subunit ribosomal RNA", at positions 1611 to 2925 of the family's 2925-position model. The record is from RNAcentral.